RNAcentral lists this long non-coding RNA (284 nucleotides) under Vombatus ursinus (common wombat). RNAcentral's name for it is "lncRNA (ENSVURG00010002547.1)". The record is from RNAcentral. Lineage: Eukaryota; Metazoa; Chordata; Mammalia; Diprotodontia; Vombatidae.
UGGAGGUAUGGUACCUGUGAGCAUUGUUGGGAGACUCAAGAAGACACUAUUGCUGAGUUUGGAAAUGUCUCUGAACUCGUCUUUCACGGCUGUUUGGAAGACUUCUGGCUCCCAGGCUUCUGGCAGCGGGGCCAGGAGGGGAUCAUGGCCAGACAUUUGAGUGAGUGAAUGUUGGAAAAUACAGUGUGACUAAUUGAGAGCCACAGACUACACAUGGAUCCUGGUGGCUAAUUCACUCACUCCUCCCUGCCAGCCCCAAAGCAUCCUCUGUGUUCCAGGAGAAG